UGAGUUAGGAGCUAGAUUAGCAGCACAUGAGAACUCUUUUGAUAUCGGGGAUCAGCUCGGAGUACUAGAACGCCGCACUGCCGUCCAAAACGGGGCAAUAUGUUGAGUCCAGUCUGCUGUCUUAACGUCCUGCAAGUAGCACGUCUCAGGUUAACAAUUCAGAUUGGGAUUGCCCAUAAUUACCUCGACAGGAAGGGACUGGAGUAAUUUGACAUAAUCAGCUCUAGAACACAAAGGGAGGUGAUAAUCUUUAUGAAACUUGUCCAGAAUCUCUUUCUCCCACGACUGCAGGGAAUCUUCGUCGGCCUUGAGAUCUCUAUGGCACAUUGCGUUAAAGAUAGUUGAGCCCCCUGGGGCUGCAACUCUUAAUAAUUCAUCGAGAAACUGUGAUUUCGCAUUAAGGAAAAAUCUUAACCGGGAUAAAACGGAAACAAAGGCUGCUGUAUUAAGAAAGACCAGAAAAAUGAAAGAGCCGAGACAAGUAAAUUGAACUUGCUGCAACUAUAUAAAGAGGAAGAGAUCUUCUUUUUGUCA
Non-coding RNA from Punica granatum (pomegranate), 534 nucleotides. NCBI's taxonomy places the organism in Eukaryota, Viridiplantae, Streptophyta, Magnoliopsida, Myrtales, Lythraceae. The record is from RefSeq and is a predicted model, not a curated record.